CGUGAUUGAUCCUGCCAAUAUUCAUAUGCUUGUCUCAAAUAUUAAUCCAUUCUAAAUAUGAACUAAUUCAGACUGUGAAACUGCAGAUGGCUCAUUAAAUCCAUUAUAGUUUUUUUUAUGGUACCAUACUAUUCUGAUAAACGUAGUAAUUCUAGAGCUAAUAUGUGCACCAAGUUUUGACUCUUUGCAAGGGAUGCAUUUUUUAGAUAAAAGGUCGUUGUGGGCUUGCCUGCUUCUCAAGUGAAUCAUGAUAACUCGACGGAUCGCAUAGUCCUUGCGCUGGCGAUGCUUCAUUAAAAUAUGUUCCCUAUCAACUUUCAAUGGUAGGAUAGAGGCCUAUCAUGGUGGUGAUGGGCGAUGGAGAAUUAGGGUUAGAUUCUGGAGAGGGAGCCUGAGAAACGGCUACCACAUCUAAGGAAGGUAUCAAGCGCACAAAUUACCCAAUCCUGAUGGGGAGCUAGUGACAAUAAAUAACAAUGUUGGGCUCAUUGUGUCUGGUAAUUGGAAUAAGUACAAUCUAAAUCCCUUUAUGAUGAUCCAUUGGAGGGCAAGUUUGGUGCCAAAAUCCCUAGUAAUUCUAGCUCCAAUAGCAUAUAUUUAAGUUGUUGCAGUUAAAAAUCUCAUAUUUGGAUCUUGGGUCAUCAAGGUCGGUCCGCCUACUCGGUGUGCACCUUCCCUUCCAUCCCUUUUGUCGUUGGCAUGCUCCUAGCCUUAAUUGGAUAGGUCGCGGCUCCAGUGUUGUUAUUUUGAAAAAAUUAGGGUUCUCAAAGCAAGAUUAUGCUCUUAAUACAUUAGCAUGGAAUAACGUGAUACGAUUUUGGUCCUAUUGUGUUGGCCUUUGGGACCAGAAUAAUGAUUAAGAGGGACUGUCGGGGACAUUCUUAUUUCAUUAUUAGAGGUGAAAUUCUAGGAUUUAUGAAAGACAUACCACUAUGAAAGAAUUUUCCAAUGAUGUUUUCAUUGAUCAAGAACAAAAGUUGGGAGCUCGAAGACGAUCAGAUACCGUCCUUGUUUCAACCAUAAAUGAUGUUGACCAUUGAUCGAUGGAUGUUUCUCUAAGGACUCCGCUAGCAAAUUCUGAGAAAUUAGAGUGUUUGGGUUAUGGGGAGUAUGGUCGCAAGGUUGAAACUUACUGGAAUUGAUGGAAGGGUACCACUAGGAGAGGAGCCUAUGAGUUAAGUUGACUCAACACUAGGAAACUUACUAGGUCCAGACAUAGUAAGGAUUGACAGAUUGAGAGCUCUUUCUUGAUUCUAUGGGUGGUGGUGCAUGGUCAUUCUUAGUUGGUGGAGCGAUUUAUCUAGUUAAUUCUAAUAACGAACGAGACCUAAGCCUGCUAACUAGCUAUGUAGAGGUUCCCCUUCAUGGCCAACUUCUUAGAGACUAUGGCCGUUUUUGCGAUGGAAGUUUGAGGCAAUAAUAGGUCUGUGAUUCUCUUAGAUGUUCUAUGCAGUGCACGUGCUAUACUGAUGCAACCAACGAGUUUUUCUUCCUGGUUCGAGAGGGUCAAGAAAUCUUCUCGAUUUGCAUCAUGAUGGGGAUAGACCAUUGCAAUUAUUGGUCUUCAACGAAGAAUUCCUAGUAAGCAUGUGUCAUCAACUCAUGUUGACUACAUCCCUGCCCUUUGUACACACCACCCGUUGCUCCUAUAGAUUGAAUGAUCUGGUGAAGUGUUCAGAUGCAUCGACGAUGGUGGUUUUCCACUGUCAACAUCGUGAAAAGUUCAUUGAACCUUAUCAUUUAGAGGAAGGAGAAGUUGUAACAAGGUUACUGUAGGUGAACAUGCAGUAG
RNAcentral lists this ribosomal RNA (1791 nucleotides) under Pinus taeda (loblolly pine). RNAcentral's name for it is "SSU rRNA". It matches the Rfam family "Eukaryotic small subunit ribosomal RNA". Lineage: Eukaryota; Viridiplantae; Streptophyta; Pinopsida; Pinales; Pinaceae. The record is from RNAcentral.